Molecule: long non-coding RNA, 1434 nt
Filed under: Trifolium pratense (red clover)
Lineage: Eukaryota; Viridiplantae; Streptophyta; Magnoliopsida; Fabales; Fabaceae
Description: long non-coding RNA (TPRA_LNC008530)
Source: RNAcentral
AAUGUUGUGCAAUAGCAGCUUCUUUAAUAGCAUUACGAAAUGCCUUCACAUCAGGGAAUAUUUGACCAACAACAAAAUUGUAGUCUUCCAUACAGUCAAGAUUGACUUAUCUAGUUUUUAGUUCUAACUUUUAUGCGGUAAUAAUCAACAACUCAAACCUGUAAUAAACUAGUAGCAGCGCCAUCUUCACUAUCAUAUAUUACAAAACAGCUUAAAAGAUUCCUCAAUAAAACAACCUGCAAUAAUUUGCAAAAAACACAUAUUAACAUAUCAGAAGGCAAUGGUUUCUGAAAACAGAGAAGCUAAAGAACAUCAAGCAAGCAAAACCAUAUAGAUAUACAAGGAUAACGUGCACACAUAGAUGGAUAGGUUUGUCAGAACAUAAUUUAGCCCUCUAUAUGUGCAUUUAUUCUUGAUUUUAUCUUUUCUUAUAUAACCUCUCAUCCAAUACAAUAUUCUCGAUUCCAUAAUACUUACACUUCUUGCUCAACANNNNNNNNNNNNNNNNNNNNNNNNNNNNNNNNNNNNNNNNNNNNNNNNNNNNNNNNNNNNNNNNNNNNNACCUGAAAACAUUUUAUUACAAUAAGCUAUAUAUUUGAAGUAACGUAGGAAAAUAAGUUAAAAUCAGUUUAUGGGCAUAUGACAAACUAUUUUUUGCAAGCUCUUCCAACCAAAUGCUUAUGCAAAAGCUUUGUCAAUAUCUUGUUUCUUAAUCGACAUUUUACCUAUUUCGCCGUUAAUGCAUUAAUUUUUCUUUUGUUUUUGUCUUAACCCUUCUAUUGCAAGGGGACGGGGGGUCCAGCGAUUCAGAGUUCGACCGGGAGUUAAGUAAAGUCUGUCUGACCAAUGAUUCCACCAAAUCUUUCCUAUACUAGCAUUUAUUUACCUUCACAUAUUUAUUUAAAAUAAGAAAUAAAUGCAACAUGGAUAUUGAUUUUAAUUUUUAAGUAAGCAAACAUAAAAUUCUCAACCCUGCAUGUUAGUGUUUAAUUAUUUCUAAUCAGAAAUAAAAUAGAGGACAUGAUACUCACUCUUGAGUAGAAUUAGAAACUUAAAGUGAAAAUGCCAUGUUGCAGCAGAAAAUGAACAAAGUGAAUAAAUAAAAACAAGUGUUCCAACAAUUACAUAUAAAUUAUUAUAAAUUUAUUUACAAAAGAAUAAAUAGCUCAAGAAACCCAGAAGAAUAAGUAAAUAAGAAAAUGAAUGAAAAUGGAGAUUUUAUUUAAUAUUAAAAAAAAAUGGGUUCAAGAAAAAUGAUAAUAAGAGGAUUGAAUUGAUGAUGGGAAAUGAAAACAAGGUAGUUUUGUGUGCAACGAAAGAGAAGAAAGAGAGAAGCAGUUGGUUACCUGAAGAAGCGAGGAGGAAGAAAGUGUUGAGAGAGAGAGAGAGAGAGAGUGAGAUCCAAUGGAGAGAGAGAGAGAGGGGAUAUGGUGG